This 176-nucleotide ribosomal RNA is filed under the name uncultured bacterium. RNAcentral's name for it is "partial 16S ribosomal RNA". It matches the Rfam family "Bacterial small subunit ribosomal RNA", at positions 1326 to 1500 of the family's 1533-position model. The record is from RNAcentral.
CUGGAAUUGCUAGUAACGGCAGGUCAGCAUACUGCCGUGAAUACGUUCCCGGGCCCUUGUACACACCGCCCGUCACACCAUGAGAGUUGGGAAUACCCGAAGCCUGUGAGCUAACUGUAAGGAGGCAGCAGUCGAAGGUAGAAUCAAUGAUUGGGGUGAAGUCGUAACAAGGUACC